RNAcentral lists this unclassified non-coding RNA (1057 nucleotides) under Leishmania donovani. RNAcentral's name for it is "gene:LdHU3.15.1770(CDS-product:hypothetical_prote in_conserved)". Lineage: Eukaryota; Euglenozoa; Kinetoplastea; Trypanosomatida; Trypanosomatidae. The record is from RNAcentral.
GUACGAGGAGCCGGUCGCCAUCAUGCUGUCCACCUCUCAGGCUCUCCUUGCCUCGUUGCGGUACCGCAGACCGUACUGGAUGCUCUUCCUCAAGGGCGCCGACAACUGGAAGAUCUACACUGUUAUCCAGCAGCCAGACCACCAGCGUACGGAGAUGUUGUACCAGGCGUGGCUAGGCGGCCUCGACAGACCCUAUGUGCGGCCGAAGUGCAUGGCGCAUCAGCCGGUGUGGCUCAGCAAGAAGCGCCACCUCCUCCAGAAGGCUCGCCUCGAGGGCCCCGAGACGUCCAUGGAAAAGUACGUACUGGAGUGGUACAAAAAGUUCCACUCCUUCCAAGGGACGGAUCGGCCCACCGCAGAGGACCUGCACACUGCCUUCGACCUCGUGGAGCGCCCGCUUGACCUCAGCUACGCCUGUCAGCUGCUGAACCAGUGCAGAAACCACUACUAUAUUCGCCUCAGCGAUGACUCCUUCGAGAUCUUCCUUGAGGCGUGCCUGCGGGUGGAUCGGAGGGACUGCGCCAACUAUGCCCUCGAGCAUGCGGAUGAGCUCGGUUUCUGGAACGUGAGCGACAACUGCCGGCGCUACUUGGCCGGAGAGCAGACGUGGUAUAAGAGAUCGCCGGUGGACCUCCUCUACUACCCCCUCGAAGAGAACGCGGAGCGCAACGCCGCCGUUACGUCUGGCGCCGUGGCCUCUGCGGCGGCCGCCUCUGAUAAGGUCACGGGGGAUGAUAAGGUGGAAGGAGGGCCGCGGACCAGCGCGACUACUUCGGCGACUGUGGCUUCCGCGGAAAGCGAGGGCGAGGCGGAGGCCACCGAUGACGAGAUCGCGCGUCUGCAGGCGGAGCUGGAGGCACUGGAGAGGGAGAUGGGGGCAGAGGGGGUGGACGGAACUGACAAGGGCUGAGGUGCCGCGACAGUCGAGCAGUGCGCCGCCAUCGAAGGCGUUUGUGCGUGUCGCUGUCCAUCGUGUGUGUGUGUGUGUGUGUGUGUGUACGAUGGUGUGGUUCGCUCUCUGCCUCCUUACACUCUAAGCGCCCUCACCCGUAACAUG